UCAGGACGAACGCUGGCGGCGUGCCUAAUACAUGCAAGUCGAGCNNNCAGAAGGGAGCUUGCUCCCGGAUGUUAGCGGCGGACGGGUGAGUAACACGUGGGUAACCUGCCUGUAAGACUGGGAUAACUCCGGGAAACCGGAGCUAAUACCGGAUAGUUCCUUGAACCGCAUGGUUCAAGGAUGAAAGACGGUUUCGGCUGUCACUUACAGAUGGACCCGCGGCGCAUUAGCUAGUUGGUGGGGUAAUGGCUCACCAAGGCGACGAUGCGUAGCCGACCUGAGAGGGUGAUCGGCCACACUGGGACUGAGACACGGCCCAGACUCCUACGGGAGGCAGCAGUAGGGAAUCUUCCGCAAUGGACGAAAGUCUGACGGAGCAACGCCGCGUGAGUGAUGAAGGUUUUCGGAUCGUAAAGCUCUGUUGUUAGGGAAGAACAAGUGCGAGA
RNAcentral lists this ribosomal RNA (446 nucleotides) under Bacillus safensis. RNAcentral describes it as "bacterial SSU rRNA". It matches the Rfam family "Bacterial small subunit ribosomal RNA", at positions 24 to 460 of the family's 1533-position model. The record is from RNAcentral. Lineage: Bacteria; Bacillati; Bacillota; Bacilli; Caryophanales; Bacillaceae.